This is a long non-coding RNA of Malurus melanocephalus (red-backed fairy wren), 207 nucleotides long. RefSeq lists it as uncharacterized. The record is from RefSeq and is a predicted model, not a curated record. Lineage: Eukaryota; Metazoa; Chordata; Aves; Passeriformes; Maluridae. The transcript is spliced from 3 exons.
ACCGGGAACCCUCCCCCGCACCCACCGGGACCCCUCCCCAGAACCCACCGGGACACCCCCGCACCCAUCGGGACCCCUCAGGAGGCGACAAUGGCGAGCGAGCGGCUGCGCAGCGCUCAGGACCUGCUGGACCUCACCUUCCAAUCGCUGGCCAUGCAGCACAUGGACCUGAAGCAGGUGGAGCUGGACACGGCCGUGGCCAAAGUG